This 238-nucleotide unclassified non-coding RNA is filed under the name Hevea brasiliensis (rubber tree). The record is from RNAcentral. Lineage: Eukaryota; Viridiplantae; Streptophyta; Magnoliopsida; Malpighiales; Euphorbiaceae.
GGUAAAUGUGAUAAAUAAGGAGAAGGUAGAUGAAAUUAGCUGUAAAGAGAUUAGCACUACAUUGCAUAAUCCUAAAUGAAUAGAGUGCUUAUAAGAGAUGAAGUUAAGAGUACAAUACGUCUUCAAGUAUACAGAUUGCAUUCAGCCCCAUUGGGGAAGGUUGAGGGAUGCACACAACCUUUGAAAAGCCCUACUCUAAGCCAAAAGCCAAAUAUCCCUAACCUUUCCAUUAAUCAAG